This is a long non-coding RNA of Gasterosteus aculeatus aculeatus (three-spined stickleback), 255 nucleotides long. Lineage: Eukaryota; Metazoa; Chordata; Actinopteri; Perciformes; Gasterosteidae. The record is from Ensembl.
CUUCCACCAAGGCAGCACAGGCGGGAUGUGGAGGACUGCUGCCGCCCUGCGACAGUUUCCAGCAGGGUGCCCAUUGGAGAGGGGCGGGAUUGAUGUUCACGGACUGUUUCCCUACAGAGAGACAGGGAAAAUCUACCACAGAAAAGAAUGGAGAAACUUGCCUUGAUGACAAACUCCGGUGUGGGUUUUCAAAGAUCAGUAUAUAAACAAAAACAUUGUCCCCUCUAUAGAGGCCAUUUAUCAAGUCUACAGAGG